AUUGAACGCUGGCGGCAUGCCUUACACAUGCAAGUCGAACGGCAGCACGGGAGCAAUCCUGGUGGCGAGUGGCGAACGGGUGAGUAAUAUAUCGGAACGUGCCCAGUCGUGGGGAUAACGUAGCGAAAGCUACGCUAAUACCGCAUACGAUCUAUGGAUGAAAGCGGGGGAUCGCAAGACCUCGCGCGAUUGGAGCGGCCGAUAUCAGAUUAGGUAGUUGGUGAGGUAAAGGCUCACCAAGCCGACGAUCUGUAGCUGGUCUGAGAGGACGACAGCCACACUGGGACUGAGACACGGCCCAGACUCCUACGGGAGGCAGCAGUGGGGAAUUUUUGGACAAUGGGCGCAAGCCUGAUCCAGCAAUGCCGCGUGCAGGAUGAAGGCCUGGUGUUAAC
This 395-nucleotide ribosomal RNA is filed under the name uncultured bacterium. RNAcentral describes it as "bacterial SSU rRNA". It matches the Rfam family "Bacterial small subunit ribosomal RNA", at positions 30 to 430 of the family's 1533-position model. The record is from RNAcentral.